AUGACGUUACCUGAAAAAGAAGCACCGGCUAACUCCGUGCCAGCAGCCGCGGUAAUACGGGGGGUGCAAGCGUUAAUCGGAAUUACUGGGCGUAAAGAGCACGUAGGUGGACUAUUAAGUUAGAUGUGAAAUACCUGAGCUUAACUUAGGAACUGCAUUUAAAACUAAUAAUCUAGAGUUUCGUAGAGGGAGGUAGAAUUCCAGGUGUAGCGGUGAAAUGCGUAGAUAUCUGGAGGAAUACCUGUGGCGAAAGCGACCUCCUAGACGAUAACUGACGCUGAGGUGCGAAAGCGUGGGUAGCAAACAGGAUUAGAUACCCUGGUAGUCCACGCUGUAAACGAUGUCAACUUGGAGGUUGUUUCAUUGAGAGAUGGCUUCCGAAGCUAACGCAUUAAGUUGACCGCCUGGGAAGUACGGUCGCAAGGCUAAAACUCAAAUGAAUUGACGGGGGCCCGCACAAGCGGUGGAGCAUGUGGUUUAAUUCGAUGCAACGCGAAAAACCUUACCUGGUCUUGACAUCCAUAGAAUUUCUUAGAAAUAAGAAAGUGCCCUUGGGAACUAUGAGACAGGUGCUGCAUGGCUGUCGUCAGCUCGUGUUGUGAAAUGUUGGGUUAAGUCCCGCAACGAGCGCAACCCUUAUCCUUUUUUGCCAUCGGUUCGGCCGGGAACUCAAAGGAGACUGCCAGUUAUAAAUUGGAGGAAGGUGGGGACGACGUCAAGUCAUCAUGGCCCUUACGACCAGGGCUACACACGUGCUACAAUGGUACAUACAAAGAGAAGCAACUCUGUAAAGACAAGCAAAUCUCAUAAAGUGUAUCUUAGUCCGGACUGGAGUCUGCAACUCGACUCCACGAAGUCGGAAUCGCUAGUAAUCGUGAAUCAGAAUGUCACGGUGAAUACGUUCCCGGGCCUUGUACACUCCGCCCGUCACACCAUGGAAGUGAAUUGCAAAAGAAGCAAGUAGUUUAACUACGGAGAACGCUUACCACUUUGUGGUUCAUAACU
RNAcentral lists this ribosomal RNA (1005 nucleotides) under Buchnera aphidicola (Sarucallis kahawaluokalani). RNAcentral describes it as "bacterial SSU rRNA". It matches the Rfam family "Bacterial small subunit ribosomal RNA", at positions 469 to 1476 of the family's 1533-position model. The record is from RNAcentral. Lineage: Bacteria; Pseudomonadati; Pseudomonadota; Gammaproteobacteria; Enterobacterales; Erwiniaceae.